GUCUUCUUAGCCAGACCUUGUGUCCUUCCUGGUCUCUGAGAGGAUACCAGCAGCUGAGGACUUCCACAGCCCCCCCCCCCCACACACACACACUGACGUGCAGUGACCUCCUGGGGGCCUAGGCAGCAAGCACUUAGCUGCCCAGCUUCAAGCUAGGCUCUUGCAGGCAGAGGAAAGGAGUCCUGGUCCAAGAGUGGAUGCCCCCUGACCUGCCACCACCCGCUGGGGUUCUCCUAAAGGCCUCUUGGAGUGGCUUAACAGAAACAGCCACCUCAAAAGCCCACCUGCUACCAGGCAAGGCCCGCUUUCCUCUACAAACGGCUUUCAGGGAGGCCUGGAUCGCGUUUGAAAACCCGUAAGCAGGAGGAGGUUUGGUAGGCUGUGUACUGAAAUUCCUCAGUGGUUACAUCAAUUACACACCGCCUGGAAAUCUGAAAACCGAUUAGUUCAUUCAUGACGUCGCUGAAACAGCCCUUCAAAAAAAAACCUCAACCUAAAAAAUCCCCUUUAAGAGCCCGAACUAAAUCUACCCACCUGAGAUAAAUAUUUCUGGACAUCAAAGAAAGCCUGGAUAUGAUGCUCCCCCGCCCCCACCCUCAUAAGUGAUAAUAGCCACCAAGGCUUAAGAAGCCAAUUCUGACAAAUGAGGGGCAGUAGAUUCCAGGAGAGAUACACCUGCAGAAAGCUCUGGAAUUCCAGGACUAACCCCACCCUCGGGUCUUUAAAGACACCACAGAUGCGCCUUCCCUUGCUUUCUGCAUAGCUGGAGAGAGAACCCAGGGCCUCCUACAGGCUAAACCUAGGCUCUGGGGUUAAGCCGCAGAUCCACUGCCUUUGACCGUCCUUGAUGUUGGAGAUCCACCAGUCUGGGUUUCUGAGGUUUUAUGCUGGAAACCAGACCAGGUUUGGAUUGGGAGCAAAUUCCUCUACCCAUCAGCCAUCUCUUCUGCUCAAGAAUUCGUUCAUCAAGACAAGUUUUUUUAAUUCCAUUCUUCAAAAGUUCCAAGAGGAGGACCGGAAACAGCCACACAGGAAGUUGGAAGGGACUCACUGAAACUCAGGCACAUGAUGUUUCAGGUAGCAAUAUGCAACUUCGGUGCCUGUCAAUAGUGACACUCCGGAAGCCAACCCUGCUGCUGCUCCAUUGGCUCUGCAGGCAGAAGCAAUCAACAUAUGAUCUACGGCUGCACAGGAUGUCAGCAAUCCCAGCUUAGGAUUCUACUUCUUCCUGGCAGGAGUAGGCUAAGUUUUGUUAUAUUUUGUUUUGUUUUUCAAGACCGGGUUUCUCCGUCCUGGAAUUCACUCUGUAGAGCAGGCUGGCCUUGAACUCAGAGGCCCUUCUGCCUCUGCCUCCCUGCCUCAUUACCACCGGGCGCAGGGACAAGCCUUUGAGCCUGCAAGUAACUGCAGCAGUGAGUACACUAGGGUUAGGGUCUCAUCGCCUUAGGCACCGGUGGAGAGUAACGCUCUAUGUCAGUGGCUAAUGUUUAUGUGGAGAACUAGCUUAUGAUAGAGCAAUUAACCCAUUAAUAAUCCACAACAAAGCAGUUGCCCUUGCUGGGAAAAAAUGUUUUCAUUACCAACACAAAAACAAAACAAAAGUCAAACCACCCGGGAGCUGGGAGACAGCUGGUCAGUUAAGGUCUACUUGCAGAGGUCCUGAGUUUGGUUCCAGCACUCAGCCUCCAACUCCAGCUUCAGGGGCUCUGGCGCCCCCUUUUGAACUCCUCAAGCACUGCACUCAUGUGCACCGCCCCCCCAUAUAUAAUUAAAAAUAAAAAAUUUAGAAAUAUCCAAUCAUGCCCUGUGCCUAGGUUGCAUGACUUGGGGCCUGCCAGAUGGCCUUAGUCUCCUGCUGUGACUCACCUAGCGUGUGAGGGCGGCUUAAGCAGAGAGAGGACUGCAUGUUUCAGGCACGUUCCUCAUUUUCAAGAGCAGUCCAGAGUGACACUUGCUUAGAAGCCUGAAGGAAUGCAGCCCUUCACAUUGGGAAAUCCUCAGCGUGGCCGCUUGCUCACGCUAUGACUCAGGCGGGAACCGUUCGUUCAGCAGUUUGCCAGGCAUUUACAUGACAAACUGAGUUCCUGCCACUGAGUACAUUCUUAGUCUUGGUCUGGACUUUGACUUAGAAUCUGGCCUAAGUAUACAUAUUGUAUACAGAGGACCUGGACAAGGCUCACAGCAUUUGAAUCACUGAUUCUGCUUGUGUGACCUGUGGAGAGCAUGUAUAAUGUAAAACAAACAAAACAGGAUUUCUCUGUGUAACAGUUCUGACUGUCCUGGAACUCACUCUGUA
Long non-coding RNA from Peromyscus leucopus (white-footed mouse), 2296 nucleotides. RefSeq lists it as uncharacterized. The transcript has 4 exons. NCBI's taxonomy places the organism in Eukaryota, Metazoa, Chordata, Mammalia, Rodentia, Cricetidae. The record is from RefSeq and is a predicted model, not a curated record.